CAGUAGCCACGGUAAUACGUAGGUGGCAAGCGUUGUCCGGAAUUAUUGGGCGUAAAGGGCUCGCAGGCGGUUUCUUAAGUCUGAUGUGAAAGCCCCCGGCUCAACCGGGGAGGGUCAUUGGAAACUGGGAAACUUGAGUGCAGAAGAGGAGAGUGGAAUUCCACGUGUAGCGGUGAAAUGCGUAGAGAUGUGGAGGAACACCAGUGGCGAAGGCGACUCUCUGGUCCAUUCCUGACGUUCAUACACGAAAGCGUGGGGAGCAAACAGGAUUAGAUACCCCCGUAGUCCCUGUCUCUUAUAC
Molecule: ribosomal RNA, 301 nt
Filed under: uncultured bacterium
Lineage: Bacteria
Description: partial 16S ribosomal RNA
Rfam family: Bacterial small subunit ribosomal RNA
Source: RNAcentral